Molecule: ribosomal RNA, 301 nt
Filed under: uncultured bacterium
Lineage: Bacteria
Description: partial 16S ribosomal RNA
Rfam family: Bacterial small subunit ribosomal RNA
Source: RNAcentral
CAGUAGCCACGGUAACACGUAGGGUGCAAGCGUUAAUCGGAAUUACUGGGCGUAAAGCGUGCGCAGGCGGUUCCGCAAGUCAGAUGUGAAAUCUCCGGGCUCAACCUGGGAACUGCAUUUGAAACUACGGAGCUAGAGUGUGUCAGAGGGGGGUGGAAUUCCACGUGUAGCAGUGAAAUGCGUAGAGAUGUGGAGGAACACCAAUGGCGAAGGCAGCCCCCUGGGAUGACACUGACGCUCAUGCACGAAAGCGUGGGGAGCAAACAGGAUUAGAUACCCCGGUAGUCCCUGUCUCUUAUAC